ACCCUGGUAGUCCACGCUGUAAACGAUGUCGACUUGGAGGUUGUGCCCUUGAGGUGUGGCUUCCGGAGCUAACGCGUUAAGUCGACCGCCUGGGGAGUACGACCGCAAGGUUAAAACUCAAAUGAAUUGACGGGGGCCCGCACAAGCGGUGGAGCAUGUGGUUUAAUUCGAUGCAACGCGAAGAACCUUACCUGGUCUUGACAUCCACGGAAGUUUUCAGAGAUGAGAAUGUGCCUUCGGGAACCGUGAGACAGGUGCUGCAUGGCUGUCGUCAGCUCGUGUUGUGAAAUGUUGGGUUAAGUCCCGCAACGAGCGCAACCCUUAUCCUUUGUUGCCAGCGGUCCGGCCGGGAACUCAAAGGAGACUGCCAGUGAUAAACUGGAGGAAGGUGGGGAUGACGUCAAGUCAUCAUGGCCCUUACGACCAGGGCUACACACGUGCUACAAUGGCGCAUACAAAGAGAAGCGACCUCGCGAGAGCAAGCGGACCUCAUAAAGUGCGUCGUAGUCCGGAUUGGAGUCUGCAACUCGACUCCAUGAAGUCGGAAUCGCUAGUAAUCGUGGAUCAGAAUGCCACGGUGAAUACGUUCCCGGGCCUUGUACACACCGCCCGUCACACCAUGGGAGUGGGUUGCAAAAGAAGUAGGUAGCUUAACCUUCGGGAGGGCGCUUACCACUUUGUGAUUCAUGACUGGGGUGAAGUCGUAACAAGGUAACCGUAGGGGAACCUGCGGUUGGAUCAC
RNAcentral lists this ribosomal RNA (742 nucleotides) under Shigella flexneri. Its description in RNAcentral is "bacterial SSU rRNA". It matches the Rfam family "Bacterial small subunit ribosomal RNA", at positions 784 to 1526 of the family's 1533-position model. The record is from RNAcentral. Lineage: Bacteria; Pseudomonadati; Pseudomonadota; Gammaproteobacteria; Enterobacterales; Enterobacteriaceae.